RNAcentral lists this ribosomal RNA (828 nucleotides) under uncultured bacterium. Its description in RNAcentral is "bacterial SSU rRNA". It matches the Rfam family "Bacterial small subunit ribosomal RNA", at positions 33 to 866 of the family's 1533-position model. The record is from RNAcentral.
ACGCUGGCGGUGCGCCUUAUGCAUGCAAGUCGAGCGAAGCUUUUCAGUAGUUUACUACAGAAAAUGACUGAGCGGCGAACGGGUGAGUAACGCGUGAGCAAUCUACCUUAGUUACUGGGAUAGCCCGAGGAAACUCGGAUUAAUACCGGAUAAUCUUAUUACAUCACAUGAUAUUUUAAGUAAAGGUCAGCCGAACUAAGAUGAGCUCGCGUUCUAUCAGCUUGUUGGUGGGGUAAAAGCCUACCAAGGCUACGACGGAUAGCUGGUCUGAGAGGACGAUCAGCCACACUGGGACUGAGACACGGCCCAGACUCCUACGGGAGGCUGCAGCAGGGAAUAUUGCGCAAUGAGCGAAAGCUUGACGCAGCGACACCGCGUGUGGGAUGACGGUUCUAGGAUUGUAAACCACUUUCAGGAGGGAAGAAAAUGACGGUACCUCCACAAGAAGCCCCGGCCAACUACGUGCCAGCAGCCGCGGUAAUACGUAGGGGGCGAGCGUUGUCCGGAUUUAUUGGGCGUAAAGAGCUCGUAGGCGGUUCAACAAGUCGGUCGUGAAAGUUCAGGGCUUAACCCUGAAAUGUCGAUCGAUACUGUUGUGACUAGGAUAUGGUAGAGGUGAGUGGAAUUCCGAGUGUAGCGGUGAAAUGCGUAGAUAUUCGGAGGAACACCAAUAGCGAAGGCAGCUCACUGGACCACUAUCGACGCUGAGGAGCGAAAGCUAGGGGAGCAAACAGGAUUAGAUACCCUGGUAGUCCUAGCUGUAAACGAUGGAUACUAGAUGUAGGAAUUGGAUUGACGAUUUCUGUAUCGUAGCUAACGCGUUAAGUA